RNAcentral lists this ribosomal RNA (490 nucleotides) under uncultured bacterium. Its description in RNAcentral is "partial 16S ribosomal RNA". It matches the Rfam family "Bacterial small subunit ribosomal RNA", at positions 30 to 507 of the family's 1533-position model. The record is from RNAcentral.
AUUGAACGCUGGCGGCAUGCUUUACACAUGCAAGUCGGACGGCAGCACAGAGAAGCUUGCUUCUUGGGUGGCGAGUGGCGAACGGGUGAGUAACAUAUCUGAACGUACCGAGCAGUGGGGGAUAACUAAUCGAAAGAUUAGCUAAUACCGCAUAUCUUCUGAGGCAGAAAGCAGGGGACCAUUUGGCCUUGCGCUGUUUGAGCGGCCGAUAUCUGAUUAGCUAGUUGGUGGGGUAAAGGCCUACCAAGGCGACGAUCAGUAGCGGGUCUGAGAGGAUGAUCCGCCACACUGGAACUGAGACACGGCCCAGACUCCUACGGGAGGCAGCAGUGGGGAAUUUUGGACAAUGGGCGAAAGCCUGAUCCAGCCAUGCCGCGUGUCUGAAGAAGGCCUUCGGGUUGUAAAGGUCUUUUGUCAGGGAAGAAAAGGGGGGGGUUAAUACCCCUGUCUGAUGACGGUACCUGAAGAAUAAGCACCGGCUAACUACGUG